This is a long non-coding RNA of Aegilops tauschii subsp. strangulata, 4207 nucleotides long. RefSeq lists it as uncharacterized. Lineage: Eukaryota; Viridiplantae; Streptophyta; Magnoliopsida; Poales; Poaceae. The record is from RefSeq and is a predicted model, not a curated record.
AAAAAAGCAAACAAGCUGGAAUCUAGCACAAAAAAAUGAUCGUUAUUAAAAAUAGAAUGAAAGAAUAAACUAUCACGAAGCGGAUGUUGUCCCGGAUGGUUAGCGCGCUCGUACAUUGCCUGUGAGGUUCUGGGUUCGAAACGUCAUGGCGCGCGUUUUUUGAAACGUUUUGCAAAAAACGUAAAGAAAAAAAAGUAUGAUGGGCCGGCCCAGUGCGCGCUGUGGUCAACAUCGCUGCUUGGCCAGACAAAUCCCUGCCAGGUCAGUGUUUUUAUGUAUCAAACCAUGUCAAAGUUUGAUUUAGACCGGGAUUGCAUAGUUUAGGGUGCAAUCGACCGGAAUUUCGACUUGAGAGUUCAUUUCGCCAAACCUCUACGAGUUUAGGGUUUAAAAUGGACUUUUUCCAUUUUAAACACGUCCUUUUCUGUUUACCAGAGUUUGCGACGACGGUACAAGUGUUUCUUAGCGCAAGUACAAGUGUUUUCUUGUCCAAAGAAGAGACCGUGACAGUUGGCACUGAACAAGCGGCGCCCGGCGAUACCCCGUCGAAACCGGCCGGGCCCGGCGGCACGCAGGUGUCCUCCCUCGCACUGACCCAGCCUCCAUUCAUUCAAAAAAAAAAAAAACAUGGCGAAAACAGCACCACGGGGAGGCGGCCGCGGCCGCGGCCAGCGGCCACGCAUCGAGACGACGACGGCGACGCGAAUGAUUGGGAGGAGAGAGGGGCGUACGGCGAGGCGAUCCGGGCAGGGCGGAAGGCGACAAGGGGAAGUGGGCCGCGACAAGAUCCAUGAUCCGAGGAGAUGGAAAAUACAGGGAGUUUAGAGAAAGAUAUUUUUACAGUGAGAUAACAUUGGCCAAAGCUGGAUGUCUGCAAUGCUGCAGCCAAAGCUAUGACAUUGUCUAAACAGUACAUGUCAGCAAGUGGAACGCAGAACAGUUACUCUGUGAGAAGGUACCCAGAUGGGUCAUGAGAGCUGCUCAAUGCCUGGUGUUGGCAGUCAUGAUGUGGUGAGAUAUAAUUUCAAGACGACAAUGCCCUUAGGUUGGUGGAACAUCCAUUAUAAGGAGGAUUCGUAAUAAGUGGGGCAGUAAUUAGUUUGAUGAUGCUUUUUAUUUGGUCUGCCGUACCAGUCCACCAAUCCCUGUUAUACAUUUGGGUAUUAUCAGAAGAGCACAGUCACGUGAUGCACAUGUGAUGCCAUGGAUUCUUGGACGAAUGGCAUGAUCAUCGAUUCAUGGUGCCUGCUCUUGGCAUCUGACACAACAGAUAAACAAUGGAACACCCGAGACUGAAGAUUUUUUUUGGAAAGCUCACCAAGAGUGAAUGAUCAUUUUUGCAUCUUUUAGAUUGAUUGGUGCAUGGAAAGAAAGGUUCCCGAAGAUGCAUUUGGUUGACUGGCAGCAGAGAGGAGAAGAUUACUGGUGAGAUGUGCAUUGCCCCUAGGAGGGGAGCAGGUUUGCACAAAUUAACAAACUAAAAAGACUAUAGUGAUAGAGGACAAGAGACGAUUCCUUGGUAUUAAGACAUCCAUCUAUCCCAUCCCGCCUUCUUCACGGACCUCACCCCUUAUUUUUCUGCUCAAAAUAAUCAUGUUCGCACUCAUAUGAUCCUGCAGCAUGCAUUCAGUUAUCCUCGAGUUCAAACCCUGUUGCCCUGAUCAUUUGCUACUGCAAAGUCCCUAUCUUUAUAUGCUUCAAUCACAUGAAUGAUGAGUUCAAAAAAGAAAGGUAGCCUGCUAUGAUCAUUGCAUGCAGAAAUCUAAUCUUGUGUGCUGCUACAUACUUUUGCAGCAUGUGGCGAUUAUGCACCAAAUAGAAACACAUAUACAAGUGCCACUGCGGUCCCAUUUCAGUCCGAUGUUUUGAACCAUGCUGCACAACGGCCCUAGCCCUCCUAGUGAGGCUAAACAUGCCUUCCUCCCGGAAACUUGUCAUAAACUGUUCAAUAGUUUAUGUGUUGCGCCUUUUUAUGACGCCAUUGUGAUGGUAAAGGUGUUUCAAGCCCCCCGGAUUUUGAUAAUAAAGCGCUCUUCGCACGCCGGCUAGAGAUUAGUGGAGAACCCCAUGACCAAUUAUGUGUUAACUGUUAAGCGAUAGUUAACCCUAAACCUACUCUUAUGAAGAUUUAACAGUGUUGAAGCCACUAUGUGUUUGUUUAAUCGUAAAGGUAAUUAUGCAGUGCGUUGGGGUCACAUGCUCUUUUGGCAUGCCCAAUUGCUUCAUUUGUUUUAGGGCACAUUGUUAGGAUAGGGAGGAAGUGCCAUCUCACUACGAUUAAUUAAGGGCAAGGAAGGAUGCUCUCUGGCACAUGCCUUCCCUUAUGGGGACCAGAAACACAUGGGAGCUACAUAACUAGAGCCCCCCCUCAAGAGGAACAAGGCUGUGGCCCCCUUCGGAGAUCUCUAAGAUUAGAGCUUUCUUGCCCAUAACAUCACCAUAUUCCCCUUCCCUGGUCCAAUUUCCAUAGUAAAUUACAGGUGCACGACACUAAAGCGAUGGUUGAAAGUUGUAGCAUGUUAACUGUCAAUUAUGUUUUCUGCCGUCGGGCAGCUGUAUUUUCUACUCGACACUAAAGCGAUGGUUGAAAGUUGUAGCAUGUUAACUGUCAAUUAUAAUAAUGAACUGAAAAUAAAUGCUCAUGUUAAAGCACUACUGGUAAAGUUAGCAAGAGGUGAAUCGUCUCCGAGAUUGAUUUCCCCAUUUGUGAUUUUCAGCAUUGCUUGGAAGGAAAAGCGAGUGUUUCCCAAAUGACGCUAAGGUCUUAAAAGGAAGAUGACAAACAGACAUCUGCGGGGGAAAAUGUGCAGCUGAGGGGUUGGAUGUUGUGCAGGCAUGAGUUUUUUCCUUUUGCCCAAUCGAGAUUGGCUUUGGGAAGAAGAGAAAGGCGUUUGAUGGAGGCAGGUCCGUCCGUCCGUCCGUCCCUCAGGUGGGGAGAAGAGCCUGUGCUCCACCUGGCCAGUGAAGUGGUGGCUGGCUGCCCUGUCAAUGCCUUUGCCUUUUUUCACAAAAGAGGUAAAAAGGAGCUGUGCACUUGAAACUUUGAUGCUGGCAAGCCUACACGUACCGGGCAUUAUGGGAGUACCUCCUGUCUGUGGAGCUUGUGAGAUUAUGCAGCAGCAGCAGCAGCAGCAACAGCAACAGUCAAUUUGGGUAUAAGUAAAUCCUGCUGUGCAAUGCAAUGCACACUGAGCAGUGGGUGCCCCUUGUUCUUUUUCUGCAGAUCAAUGAUUGGGAGUUUUGAGGCAUAUGGUAGGUACUUUAUGGUUUCUUUUACCCUUAGGCGGCCGCUGUAGGGCACUAGCUGAGCUUGUGCCCCAGAUUGUUUGCAACACAGUUAAGCAGCAUGAGUCCAGGAACUGGGACUUGAGAGUGAGCAAUAUACUACUAUGUAGAAUUCUGCUGCGGCUGCAAGGCAAAAACAUUCCCUGUGCACAAGGACAAGUGUGCCUGUAUCAUCAUAUUGGAAGCAUGCGUUUGUUUAUUAAUAACCUCGCCAUGGAAACCGGUAAGCAGCAGAUCCCAAGAGCCUUGCCUUGGCUGUCCCAAGUACUCCCCCCCCCCCCCACAAGCACAAGCACAAGCACAAGCACUGGAGUCCAAUCCACUCCAGCAGCAGCAGCAGCAAGCAGGGCAGGUGGCCAUCUCAUCUCAUCCCACCCCAUUUCCAUGCAUCCUCUUGUGUGAUGCAAACAAUGUUGCAGCCAGCGCAGUCUGACAGAGGAGAUGAACAGUUCGCAGGCCCCUCCACCAGGUCCGGUGCGGCAGGCAGCGCCUUUAUCGGCCGCUACAGUCCCGGUCCUCGGUCGGCCCGCGAUCGCCCGCCCGCCCUUGCCAGUGGUGAGUGACAGCUUGCCCCGACGCCGUACGUACAUGUCCCAUGUGUGUUGCGUUGUUUACAGAGGAGGUGUUAGCAAUGGAGCUGCUGAUGAUGCAGCGAUGCUGAGGAGAGCAGAGCAGGCGCACACUACCAUUGCUAUGCCAUGAUCAAAUCUAUCUUCUACCCUUCGCCUAUCUGCUGCUUGAUGCUGCUGCUGCUGCUGCUAUCUUGGCUGCCGUGCUUGCUCCAACUGUGGCACACCAUUUGUUCCCUUGGCAAGGCACUCUUAAAUGGCCCGCACCCAGCGGUGCCCAUCUCUUCCUUUAAUGGCUUCUACUCUGCAUCGCGGGAGAAGGACCACAAGAAUGACAGAGAAAGUAAUCAGAG